UUCUUUCCGGUUCUCCCUUCACCCAUUCAUUCUAAACCCUAGCAGCCUCCCUCCCACACAAUUCCUGCAGAUCCAUUUGUUGACGAGUUUCAAAGGAUUUCCAAGAACACUUGAAGAUCUUCAUCUUCUUAGGUUAAUGAAGUCAUGGUCGUAAUGGAAAGUGCAAGGGCGAAGCUUCAUAGGAGCCAGGGGAUAUAGGUAACAAGUCAGAAUAAGUUGAGUUCGGCUGGCCAAAAUUUCUAAAUUAUACUUAGAAGUAUAUUUUAUCUUUUAUAUUAUUCCAGUCUCUCUGUUUCUUUUAACU
Molecule: long non-coding RNA, 304 nt
Organism: Helianthus annuus (common sunflower)
Lineage: Eukaryota; Viridiplantae; Streptophyta; Magnoliopsida; Asterales; Asteraceae
Exons: 3
Source: RefSeq, a predicted model, not a curated record